UGAAAAACAAAAAUAAACAAACAAACAAACAAAAAAGCAGGCUCAGGUUUUCAGACAUUCUGGAAAGGUUUUUUCCCAAAGCAUCUAAUAAUGCCCCCUCCUCCACACACUCUGACAGACAGAAGACAGUAAUUUUGUUGUUAUUGGUGGUGGUGUUUUAAUUUAGCUUUUUGUAUGUGGUUGUUUUGCCUGCAUGCUUGUGUGUGUACCAGGAAGUGCCUCUGGAAGCCAGAGGAGGGCACCAGGUACCCUAGAACUGGCGUCACCGAUGGGUAAGAACUCAUUUGGGCACUGGGGAUUGAACCCAGAUUCUCUGGACGAGGAGCCAGUGCUCUUAAACACUGAACUAUUUCUCUAGACUCAAGAGAAUAAUAUAAACCACAGAAUAAGACUAAUGAACUUUAUCCAGGUCUUGGAGGAGGGUUUUUAAAGUUUGUUUUUGCUAUUUUUUAUAUGUAAGAAUGGACCCCAUAUGCAUGUUUGAAUGCCUAUCAUCAGGGAGUAGAACUCUCUGAUAGGAUGAGAAGGAUGAGGGGAUGUGGCCUUGCUAGAGGAUGGGCUGGAGGUUUGGAAAGCAUACGUCCACUGACCCAGUGGUUUUCUUUCUCCUGGCCUGUGGACCAGGAUGUAGCUCUCACCUACUUACUGUUCCAGCACUGUGUGUGCCAGCGUGCUCCCCACGGUGGUGCUUUGAGAAGAGGUGAGAUGUAGCUUGGGGGGGGGUGUCUCCCUGUAGGGAGGAAGUUUUGGGGUGGGAGAUUACUUUCUGACCCCUUAUGGCCGGCUUGGAUCUUCCAAGAGGAAAAAAAAAAAAAGUCUGCUGUUCAUAUGGAGCCUUGAUACAAUUGUCCCAUUUUACAUAUGAACCUACUGAGAAAUAAGUGACUUUCUCACAUAACUUGGUGAUUUUCAGACUUAUAGCUUGUUUGCCAUUGGUCCUUCCUUAAAUAGGGAUGAGGAUGGGGGAGGGCAGGUGGAUUCCUUCAGUUGGGCAAAUUGAUCUUUGAGAAAGCCAGGCUAUCUAUCACCUUUAGACUCUUUAGAAACCUCGAGGGAGCUGAUUGCUCUGGGUGCCUCUUACGGAGGGAAUGCUGGCCUCUGUCCACUUUGUCACAGUUUCCAAGUGCAUUUAGAGCGUGGCUCUCAUUCCUGAGUGCUGAACUCAGACAUCCCACUGACAGCUUGUCAUCGUUGCUGGGGUGUCUAAUAGUCACCUCAACCUCAAUACGCCAAAGCUGAGCUCUCCGCCUUCCCCUGUGCUUCCUUCCCUGCCCACGGUCUUCUAGGUGUAGUUAAUAGCAUUCACGUGUUUCGCUUUCGUGGAGCCUGAGCAGCCCAGGAUUUCUAGAAGGCUGGUGCAGCCCACACCCCUGAGGUGCACAAGUUUAUCUGGAGGUUCUCCAUCCUGAAACUUCCAGACUUGGCAAGCAGUUCUUUGGGCAGAUAAAGUUGGAAUGAUUUUUGCACACCUGUUCCCAGAAGUGCAGAGCUGUUUCUUUCGCGGGCCACUGCUGGUUGCUGUGUCUCCAACCCCACCGUCUUUCAUAACAACUGAAGGGCACCAGGCAAGAAUGAAGUGUUGAGCCUCAUCAUAGCUCUGGCAGUAAGAACAUGCCACCCGGCUCUGGGUUUGCAGUGUUCCCACAGAGGUCUAGCCACGAGAAAGAGGAAAAAGCUUCUACAAUAGUCAGCAUGUGCCCAGAGCAACGGUUGGCAAAAUUACAGUUAUGAAAUAGCAGCAGAAAUAAUUUUAUGGUUGGGGGUCACCACAAUAUGAGGGACUGUGUUAAAGGGUUGCAGCAAUUGGAAGGUUGAGAACCAGUGAUCUAGAGAAAGGAAGGAUGCUGAGUGGAAGCCCUUUGCCUUCCUUCCAGCAAUGCUGUGGCACAGGUUUACUCAAGACAAACAAACCAAACCAACCAAACAAACUGAUUGUGAGGUUGGCUGGCAAAGGGGGCAGGGGCACAGAAGAACUCAAAUCUUCUCCCCUAGUAAGUAUGAGGGUGGAAUGUCCCUCAGGCCCUGGCGUGGGGAGCGCUGCUCACAGAGUGGUUAAGCAGAAAGUAGUUAGUUUUAGAACCAAUCCGUUGUGCAGUUGUAAGGUGCUCCCCCCCCACACACACACCCGCCACGCUUCUUUGCAGGUUGCAUGCAUCUUUUUGGAGAAAACUAUGUUCUGCCUAGGGCUUUGGAGCUUGUCACGUCAAAGUCAUUGGUUAAGUAAAUUGGCUGUGCCAUUGUGUGAUGGUUCCUUAGGAGCCAGUUUCAUGAUGCUAGAGUAGAUUCUGGAAGCUUUUCCUGAAAAGCAACAUAAGCUCUCGGUAUGGGAGGAACUCAUGCGCAGGCCUUUGCUGAGAAAAGGUAGUAAGUAGGUGAGGGUAGGAGUCGCACAGGCAGGCAGAUUCUGAGCUUCAACUGUGGGCCCUUAGCCCAUCUGCAGCGCAGGAGGGUGCCACUCUGAUAGCCUGUGGCACUUAGUGGGUACAAAUCCCAAAGCUCAGAGCAGAAGUUCAAUUUGUCCGGAUCACCUGGCCUUGGCCCUGCUGCAGGGCCACCUGGUCUCUCCUUGUGGACCAGAUUGGCAAAGGACAGAGAUCUGGAGAAGAGGAAAUCUCAGCACACAUGCGCAGCACAGCUUCCUAGACUUUGCUCUGCCCCCUUUGCUUCAGGCUUACGGACUAGGUAACAAACGAACAGACAGCUUUCACUCUGGAAAACACAUCAAGAGAAGUCGGCUCUUAGGAUGCUUGCUGUGCCCCUCAUUGCUUGCAAACCUUCUCAGUCCAAAGCUGGACCAACUGUAAACCAGGAACAACCAUAAGGAAUGCUCCUUGGGUGUGCCAUUAAUCUGCAUCUCGUCUAGACUUCCUAAUUCCCCUGAGAGGAGAGGGGAUCUUAUCAGCAUCUUCUUUCUGACAAGCAAUAAGUUCACACUUAUCUAGGCUGAUGGCUCUGCAGCUCCCUUCAGUGAGCUGGUGAUUUCAGAUGUCGUGAGAGGGAGUUCUCUGUGGAAGGAUCACAUUCGAAGUCCCAAAUUAAAACUAGUUUGGUCUGAUUGUCUUUGAUUUUUAUCCGGUGCAUAAAAUGGCUAGUUUCAGAUGCAAAAACAUAAAAUAAAUGGUCGUGCAGCUCUGAAGUCCCUUCUCCUUGGAGACACAUCCCGUCAAGCUCUUUGCUGCUGCCGCCUGACGAUUUCCAUCUGCCACAGUGCUGAUCUCUCUUUAUUCUUUUCUAUUUUCUGUCCUUCUGCUGCGCUUCCCCCAACUCUUACCAAAAAAAGAAAAGCAUAGUGACUCUCCCUGUGUCUGUCUCCU
Molecule: long non-coding RNA, 3314 nt
Organism: Mus musculus (house mouse)
Lineage: Eukaryota; Metazoa; Chordata; Mammalia; Rodentia; Muridae
Product: predicted gene, 52726
Exons: 3
Source: RefSeq, a predicted model, not a curated record